Molecule: non-coding RNA, 203 nt
Filed under: Chlorobiota bacterium
Lineage: Bacteria; Pseudomonadati; Chlorobiota
Source: RNAcentral
AGUUUGCCCACCGGUACCGUUCAUCGUUACAACAGGGAAGCGGGUGUAAUUCCCGCACGGUCGCGCCGCCGUGAUGGUGUACAAGUUGGUUCACGCUGUUUCAGCAGCCACUGAGCGCUUUCUGCUGUGGCAGGGGGCUUGGGAAGGCGAACCAAUGCGGAUGAUGCCAGAGUCGGAAUACCUGACGGUACCUUUAUUAUUCA